Molecule: long non-coding RNA, 440 nt
Organism: Oxyura jamaicensis (ruddy duck)
Lineage: Eukaryota; Metazoa; Chordata; Aves; Anseriformes; Anatidae
Exons: 3
Source: RefSeq, a predicted model, not a curated record
GUCCUGCUGCAGCUUCCUUCACACAGCUCUGCAGACCUUCUCCAGCAGGCUGGAAGAUUUAAAAAGCAGCAGAUGAGCUGGCAGAGAAGGAAGAAAGAGUUGUGGUGUGGAGCUGUGAGGCAGAAGAGGAGCGGAAGACUGACAAGGAGCACAGGACCCUCCUGUCACCAGGCCUGGGUGCAAAGAAGAUGACGCCUGCAAUGCCCUGUCUGGUUUGCGCUGGGUGACCUCCCUGGAAGCAGUCUUCUGGUCUUGGCUUCUGUGGCUUUUUAUGGCCUUUUCUCACGUUGCUUGUCUGGUUGCCAGCAGACCUUGGCCACCCAGUAAGGAGGGCCUUACAAACAAAGUGUAUCCUAGGAGCAUGUAAAGAUGGAUUCCAAUGAUGUCUGCCUUGCAAGAAGACUCCAAAGACAACCAUCAAAAUAUCAAAAACCCAGUUG